CUUUAUUAAGUCUCCCAAACAAAGUUUGGAGACUUAUUGUUUUUGCUCAGUUCUUAUUAUUUUUAUUAUUCUUCUUCUUUUUAUGGCACCCUCAACGGAGUUGGGGUGACAUAUUGUUAUUCUACGUUUCUUUUUUUUCUUAUUUUUCUUUUUCUUCUUCCACACAUUUUGUCCGUCGCGUUUCUCAGAAUCCAUUGGAUCAAUGUUGGUGGAACUUUACUAUAAGAAGGACCCCCAUGUAAAGUUGUGCACCUUGGUAUGGAAUGGUAAAAGAUGGCCGCCGUUUCCAUGGAAACAGCAAAAAUGCGAAAAAAAUCAAAGUGUCCCAAACUGAAAGAAACUCCACAGGAAUGGUAACUGGAAUAUGCUGAUUUCCAGUUUGACUUUGGAAUUUUCAAAAUGGCUGCUGUUACCAUGGAAACAGAUAAAAUAUCAAAAAUUCUAACUUUUUCGUUAUAACACUCAGCUGGAUGAAACUUUAUAUAAAUGUUACCCGGUAUGCCAAGAUGUCAAAACAAUAUUUGGAUAAUCCAAAAUGGCCGCCGUUGUCAUGGAAACUGGGGGCAAGUUUUGCAUUGACCCUAUGGAAAAAUGCAUAAAAUCUGCAUUUUCUCAGAGAGUAUUGCACCAAAGUCAAUGAAACAGCACUGAUACAUGUAUAUAACAUGACAUGUGGCAAUGAGAUGUCUGCUUUUAGAAUUUUUGAAUUAUCUACUGUAACAUGAUGGUUGCAGCAAAAAUGUUCAAAAUUUCAAAAAAAAUUAAAGUGCUGCUAAUUGGAUGAAACUUUACAGGAAUGUUAACUGACAUGUGCCGAGUUGCAUUUUGAAGUUGGAAUUUUCAAAAUGGCGGCCGUAACCAUGGUAACAGCAAAAAUGUCAAAA
Molecule: long non-coding RNA, 884 nt
Filed under: Mytilus galloprovincialis (Mediterranean mussel)
Lineage: Eukaryota; Metazoa; Mollusca; Bivalvia; Mytilida; Mytilidae
Source: RNAcentral